UUUAGAUUACACUGACAAAGUUUGGUGUUGAUCUGAAUAAAUCUCUAGGAGGAGUUCGUUAAAGUACAACCCCUGAAAAUGGCAAAAACGACACAAAUUUUGCAGAGAAAAUUCAAAAUAACUGACUUCCUGUUUGGAUUCGAAUUUCGUACCAAGAGACUUUUUUGUAGGUAUUGGUGUGUUACAUGUGUGUACCGAUUUUUGUACAUGUACGUGAAACGUAGCUCGAGGCGCACUCCGUUGAAAAUGUAUAGGUGGCGCUAUCGAGGCAUUUUGCCACACCCGAUGGAAUAUUGGCCUUCAGAUUUGUUCAGGCCAGGACUCUUAUCGAACAUGUGAAGUUUGGGCAAGAUCGGAUGUUUUAUGCCUGAGUUAGAAUAACAUUUAUUCUCAUGGCGAGACAUCGAACUUUGUGACGGCGCCAUGGACACGCCCUUUAACGAAAACUCAAGAUCUUCACAAUUUAACAUCGCACAGGCCUUUAGAAUAGAGUGACUGAAAAAAAAACAUUUAUGUCAUAAAAUUUCUCAGGGUAGUUUGUUACAGUGUAAAAUAUGUCACUUCCUGUUGCCAGUAGGUGGCGCUAUGACUAUAACUGAAUAUGGGCAUGUCAAUCUUUUCAGGUCAGGAGUCUUAUCAAACAUGUGAAGUUUGGGGCAGAUUGGACAUUGUAUGUCUGAGUUAUAGCAACUUCCUUUUUCAUGGCGAAACAUCGAAAUUUGUCAGGCCGCCACGGACACGCCCUUUGACGAAAACUCAAGAUCUUCGCAAUUUAACGUCGCAAAGGCCUUAAGAUUAGG
Molecule: long non-coding RNA, 800 nt
Organism: Cyprinus carpio carpio
Lineage: Eukaryota; Metazoa; Chordata; Actinopteri; Cypriniformes; Cyprinidae
Source: Ensembl